Molecule: ribosomal RNA, 198 nt
Filed under: uncultured Staphylococcus sp.
Lineage: Bacteria; Bacillati; Bacillota; Bacilli; Caryophanales; Staphylococcaceae
Description: partial 16S ribosomal RNA
Rfam family: Bacterial small subunit ribosomal RNA
Source: RNAcentral
CUCCUACGGGAGGCAGCAGUAGGGAAUCUUCCGCAAURGGCGMRAGCCUGACGGAGCAACGCCGCGUGAGUGAUGAAGGUCUUAGGAUCGUAAAACUCUGUUGUUAGGGAAGAACAAAUUUGUUAGUAACUGAACAAGUCUUGACGGUACCUAACCAGAAAGCCACGGCUAACUACGUGCCAGCAGCCGCGGUAAUAC